Molecule: ribosomal RNA, 443 nt
Filed under: uncultured bacterium
Lineage: Bacteria
Description: partial 16S ribosomal RNA
Rfam family: Bacterial small subunit ribosomal RNA
Source: RNAcentral
CCUACGGGAGGCUGCAGUGGGGAAUAUUGGGCAAUGGGCGCAAGCCUGACCCAGCAACGCCGCGUGAAGGAAGAAGGCCCUCGGGUUGUAAACUUCUUUUAUCAGGGACGAAGCAUGUGACGGUACCUGAUGAAUAAGCCACGUCUAACUACGUGCCAGCAGCCGCGGCAAUACGGAGGCGGCAAGCGUUAUCCGGAUUUACUGGGUGUAAAGGGCGUGUAGGCGGGAAAGCAAGUCAGAUGUGAAAACCAGGGGCUCAACCUGUGGACUGCAUUUGACACUGUUUUUCUUGAGUACUGGAGAGGCAGACGGAAUUCGUGGUGUAGCGGUGAAAUGCGUAGAUAUUAGGAAGAACACCAGUUGCGAAGGCGGUCUGCUGGACAGCAACUGACGCUGAGGCGCGAAAGCGUGGGGAGCAAACAGGAUUAGAUACCCCUGUAGUC